GUGCGAGACCGAUAGCGAACAAGUACCGUGAGGGAAAGAUGAAAAGAACUUUGAAAAGAGAGUUAAAGAGUACCUGAAACUGCUGAAAGGGAAUCGAAUCGUUUCCAGUGUCUAUAAUCCGUGGCAUAUUUCAUUGGCGAGUGGGUGCGUGCAGCGUUUUGGAAGUGGUUUUCCUCUCCAUACGUUGUUGUGCGUUUGCUUGCUGGUGCCCUGUGUUGCGGUGGGACGUCAGAGUCAGUUUGUAUGCCGCGGGAAAUGGCUGUUAGGGAGGUAGGUCACUUGUGGCUGUUAUAUCCUGGCGUGCUAGUCGUCGUGGUUGAGACUGAGGUGCCUAC
Molecule: ribosomal RNA, 335 nt
Filed under: uncultured Oomycota
Lineage: Eukaryota; Oomycota
Description: eukaryotic LSU rRNA
Rfam family: Eukaryotic large subunit ribosomal RNA
Source: RNAcentral